This 1102-nucleotide long non-coding RNA is filed under the name Mytilus galloprovincialis (Mediterranean mussel). Lineage: Eukaryota; Metazoa; Mollusca; Bivalvia; Mytilida; Mytilidae. The record is from RNAcentral.
UGGGGCAGCUACUAAGUGCUGGUAAGGCAAAAAUAGAAGAUCACUUGAUAAAAAACAUUAGGGCGCUGGACUUCAGAUAGUUACAUCAGAUACAUUAGGGUAACGCCAGCAUCUAUUAAAACAGCUCAAAGUAGGUUAGGUAGAAUUUAAGGGCAAUGCUCAUUUUCAAAUGUUCCAUACGCAUGUUUUUUACAGAGAUUCUGGAUGAUAUUGUUUUUGUUUGACAAUUGAUUUUGAUAUUGUGUUAUUAUUAUGUGAUAACUUUUAUUAUUAUUAUUUUUUUUUUUUUUUUUUUCAUGGCUUUAUUGAAGGUACCCCCUCCCUUACCUCACAAAUCCUUGGGGACACUCAGCUGUUACCAUCUGUGUUAUGGACAUUUAUGAAAUUUUAUCACUGGUUGUUUCAAAAAUUUCACUCAUCCCCCAAGAAUUUCUGGGGAUAAACUGUCAAAUUUCAUACAAAUUCAUUCCAACACCAAUUCAACAUCAACACUACUAGGCUUCCUCAUAGCCUCCUUAUAGGCUUCCUCAUUGUCUCAUUAUAGGCUUCCUCAUAGCCUCAUAGGCAUGAUAGCCUCUAGGAAUGAUAGCCUCAUAGGCUUCCUGAUAGCCUCAUGCAUUUAUUUUGAACCAUCGUUCCAAUUGGAUUGGUGUGAUGUCAAGCCAGGGGUCUAUACUUUGCUACUUUUCAGUAUGCACAUAGCUAGGCUCUUGGUUUAGGCAUGGAGCAAAAAAUUAAAUUUUUUAGCUGAGUAGUUUCCCCAAGGGCCAAAUUAUAAUUGUGAUGUAUAUAUAUAAAAUAAAAGUUGCAAUUAAAUUAUGAUUUAUGUUUAAUUCAAACAUGGAUACCAAUGGCAUUGCUACACAGUAUUUCCCAGGAGUUUAUUUACAAGAUAGGUUAUAGCAGGAAAAAUUAGGUUGAUAAUAAUGUGAGCACUAAAUCCUUAAUUUUACAUAUCAUGAGUUCAAAUGGUGUGUUCUGAAAGAAAUCAGGGGUAAUUAAAUUAUUUAAAUUACUAUGAAAUUACUAUGAACUCAUUAUGUGUGACUUUGAGGAUUUUGUUCACUGACACAUUUAUUAGCAAAAUUAAAAUAUAGGGCAG